Non-coding RNA from Drosophila bipectinata, 339 nucleotides. NCBI's taxonomy places the organism in Eukaryota, Metazoa, Arthropoda, Insecta, Diptera, Drosophilidae. The record is from RefSeq and is a predicted model, not a curated record.
GUUGGACGGUUGUUAAUUUCUUGAUUUUUUCCCUUCUUGAUCGCCGCGACGGCAAACGAAAGUAAUUUGUGUUGUUGUUUAUGUUGUGCUCCCACAAAUUCUCUCCAAUUGAGAUUUGUUGUUAGUGUCUGUUGCCUCUUGUCUUGUGUUGUUGUUGUUGUGUUUGUUAUGCUGUCCGGUCAUUGCUUCAAAUUGCUCAAUCAACGCCACUACUUGUGUAAGCUGCGCUUGCAACUAUUGGUGGGGGUCGUGCUGAUAAGAAUGACAAAGGAACGGUACUGAUAACCAAUGCCUGGGAAUACUGAUCACCCCAAAAGAAAGCUAGAAAAAGCGCGACAA